This 594-nucleotide ribosomal RNA is filed under the name uncultured bacterium. RNAcentral's name for it is "bacterial SSU rRNA". It matches the Rfam family "Bacterial small subunit ribosomal RNA", at positions 338 to 1212 of the family's 1533-position model. The record is from RNAcentral.
CCUACGGGAGGCAGCAGUGGGGAAUAUUGGACAAUGGGCGCAAGCCUGAUCCAGCCAUGCCGCGUGAGUGAUGAAGGCCUUAGGGUUGUAAAGCUCUUUUGCCAGGGAAGAUAAUGACUGUACCUGGAGAAUAAGCCCCGGCUAACUUCGUGCCAGCAGCCGCGGUAAUACGAAGGGGGCUAGCGUUGUUCGGAAUCACUGGGCGUAAAGCGCACGUAGGCGGACUUUUAAGUCAGGGGUGAAAGCCUGAGGCUCAACCUCAGAACUGCCCUUGAUACUGGGAGUCUUGAGUAUGGUAGAGGUUGGUGGAACAGCAAGUGUAGAGGUGAAAUUCGUAGAUAUUUGCUAGAACACCAGUGGCGAAGGCGGCCAACUGGACCAUAACUGACGCUGAGGUGCGAAAGCGUGGGGAGCAAACAGGAUUAGAUACCCUGGUAGUCCACGCCGUAAACGAUGGAUGCUAGCCGUUAGCCAGCUUGCUGGGUAGUGGCGCAGGUAACCCUUUAAGCAUCCCGCCUGGGGAGUACGGUCGCAAGAUUAAAACUCAAAGGAUAGUACGGCGUGAGAGNGCGACGACGACGACGACGGAGGAGG